This 225-nucleotide unclassified non-coding RNA is filed under the name uncultured fungus. RNAcentral describes it as "sequence contains ITS1, 5.8S rRNA gene". The stretch from base 177 to 225 matches the Rfam family "5.8S ribosomal RNA", at positions 1 to 49 of the family's 154-position model. The record is from RNAcentral. Lineage: Eukaryota; Fungi.
UCUCCGUAGGUGAACCUGCGGAGGGAUCAUUACUGAGUGAGGGCUCACGCCCGACCUCCAACCCUUUGUGAACCAAACUUGUUGCUUCGGGGGCGACCCUGCCGUUUCGACGGCGAGCGCCCCCGGAGGCCUUCAAACACUGCAUCUUUGCGUCGGUGUUUAAGUAAAUUAAACAAAACUUUCAACAACGGAUCUCUUGGUUCUGACAUAGAUGAAGAACGGAGC